CGGCCACCGAAGCCACCGCGGCCACGGAGAAGGGCGAGAAGAAGAAGGAGAAAAACGUUUCUUCAUUUCAACUCAAACUUGCUGCUAAAGCGCCUAAAUCUGAAAAGGAAAUGGACCCAGAAUAUGAAGAGAAAAUGCUACCGCCAUAGGCGCACAGAGCAAGAAGAAGAUGAAGAGCUACUGUCCGAGAGUCGGAAAACAUCUAAUGUGUGUAUUAGAUUUGAGGUGUCACCUUCAUAUGUGAAAGGGGGGCCACUGAGAGAUUAUCAGAUUCGAGGACUGAAUUGGUUGAUCUCUUUAUAUGAAAAUGGAGUCAAUGGCAUUUUGGCUGAUGAAAUGGGCCUUGGGAAAACUUUACAAACAAUUGCUUUGCUUGGUUACCUGAAACACUACCGAAAUAUUCCUGGACCUCACAUGGUUUUAGUUCCAAAGUCUACUUUACACAACUGGAUGAAUGAAUUUAAACGAUGGGUCCCAUCUCUCCGUGUCAUUUGUUUUGUCGGAGACAAGGAUGCCAGAGCUGCUUUUAUUCGUGAUGAAAUGAUGCCAGGAGAGUGGGAU
Molecule: small RNA, 561 nt
Filed under: Pongo abelii (Sumatran orangutan)
Lineage: Eukaryota; Metazoa; Chordata; Mammalia; Primates; Hominidae
Description: processed transcript
Source: RNAcentral